Molecule: microRNA precursor, 96 nt
Organism: Brassica oleracea var. oleracea
Lineage: Eukaryota; Viridiplantae; Streptophyta; Magnoliopsida; Brassicales; Brassicaceae
Rfam family: MIR9563 microRNA precursor family
Source: Rfam
GUAAUAUAAGAUACGGUCUCUUAGCUUUUAACUAAAAAACUAAGAGACGUCUCUUAGUUUUUUAGUUAAAAGCUAAGAGACCGUAUCUUAUAUUAC